GUGGUAGAGCUUUGUGCAAGCUCGUCUGGGUAGGUACCGCCCACUCAUCAGAUAUUCUAUCGCAAAACAGCAGUACUUGGUAUUGUUGUGUUCCGGUAUGAAGGGUGAGUGAGCCAGUGUAAUUACAGGCACAAGGGACAUAACAUCUUAGUUCCCAAGGUUGGUGGCACUUUGGCGAUGUAAGCGAUGGUUAACAUUUCUUACAAUGCCAAUGUCUAUGGGCAUUGGUGACC
Molecule: long non-coding RNA, 233 nt
Organism: Nymphalis io (European peacock)
Lineage: Eukaryota; Metazoa; Arthropoda; Insecta; Lepidoptera; Nymphalidae
Exons: 3
Source: RefSeq, a predicted model, not a curated record